AUUGAACGCUGGCGGCAUGCUUUACACAUGCAAGUCGAGCGGCAGCGCGGGACUCAGGCAACUGAGCCCUGGCGGCGAGCGGCGAACGGGUGAGGAAUACAUCGGAACGUACCCGGGAGUGGGGGAUAACGCCGCGAAAGCGGCGCUAAUACCGCAUAUGCUCUGUGGAGGAAAGUGGGGGACUCGUCAGGCAACUGAGGGGCCUCACGCUCUGGGCGCGGCCGAUGUCCGAUUAGCUAGUUGGUGGGGUAAUGGCUCACCAAGGCGACGAUCGGUAGCUGGUCUGAGAGGAUGAUCAGCCACACUGGGACUGAGACACGGCCCAGACUCCUACGGGA
This 338-nucleotide ribosomal RNA is filed under the name uncultured bacterium. RNAcentral describes it as "bacterial SSU rRNA". It matches the Rfam family "Bacterial small subunit ribosomal RNA", at positions 28 to 346 of the family's 1533-position model. The record is from RNAcentral.